CAGUGUCAUACUUCAAAACAAAACUUUACCCCGGUCUUAAGUUCAAAAGAUUAUAUAUACUAAUAACUUUAAUUACACGCAACCGAGAAAAAUUUCACAGCUAAUAAUAUAAGAAAGUAAAACCUGCAGUAGAGGCUAGAAGAAUUGGUUUCAACCACAACAAGUCUUCAAAAUGAAGGUGUUGGGUGCGCUGCUUGUCCUGCUAUUCAUCGAUUCAAUUAUUUGUGACCCCGAUAGAUUCGAAUCAUUUCUUCAUAAUUGCACAACAAGUACGGAAGCGCGCAAAGAGUUAACUAAACUUAGAACACAAGUAGACCAAUUUGAACCUAAGUGCUUUUACCAUUGCGUUUUUGAAGAUUUUGAAUUUAUUACCAAUGGCAAGAUCAACCAAAACAUUUUUAACACAAAUGCAGAGGACGCGGAAAAGGCGAAACCAUGCAAGGCCAUAGAGGAACCCGACAGGUGUGAGCUGGCAUACAAGUUCCAAGCAUGUGUCCACAAGCAAUUGAAUUUCUCAUUAUUUUAGUUGAAAUAAAAUGGUGGUCAUUUUAAGGCCAAAUGUUUUCAGUUCUGCAAUAUGGAUUCACUGCUGUCUUUAAAAUACAAACUAAUCAAUCCAGAAGCGCUUGUUUUCUUUUACAAGUAAAGUUCUACGGCCCAAGUUAUGUAUCGUUUUUGCCGAUAAUUUGUUGCUAAAUUGAGUUGGUUCCUGUUCGUAUUGCCAAGUGGACCUCUUUGGAGAUAAGUAUGUUAACUGGCUGGAGGAGCUAAACAGUCUCUUGUAAAUGAUAGCCAUGAAAUUUUCGAUGGCACGUAUCGACUUAUUUAAUCUAUACUAAGUACUUCGCCUCUAUUAUAGCCCUUUAUUAGUAGCUUUUUAGAGAAUGCAAAUCCAUACCCGCUGGCUAAUGAAAAUACGGAAAAUUAAAUAUUAAACACGAAUUUAAGCUAAUCAUCUCUAAAGCUUAUGCAAGGUGUCGUGUGAAUAAGGGGUAUAAAAGCAGUCAGUAAAACUCCGAACAGUGUCAUACUUCAAAACAAAACUUUACGAAAGUGUUCUCCUUUCACCCCGGUCUUAAGUUCAAAAGAUUAUAUUUACUAAUAACUUUAAUUAGACGCAACCGAGAAAAAUUCCACAGCUAAUAAUAUUAGAAAGUAAAGAAGAACAUUUGGUUUGAAACACAACAAGUCUUCAAAAUGAAGGUGUUGGGUGCGCUGCUUGUCCUGCUAUUCAUCGAUUCAAUUAUUUGUGACCUUCUGAAAUUAUUACCAAUGGCAAGAUCAACCAAAGCGGUUUUAACACAGCGGCAGAGGACGCGGAAAAGGCGAAACCAUGCAAGGCCAUAGAGGAUCCCGACAGGUGUGAGCUG
RNA transcript from Drosophila ficusphila, 1370 nucleotides. RefSeq lists it as uncharacterized. The record is from RefSeq and is a predicted model, not a curated record. The transcript has 3 exons. Lineage: Eukaryota; Metazoa; Arthropoda; Insecta; Diptera; Drosophilidae.